GACUUUUGACUGGGAAAGAACAGAACUGAAUAAGCCUCAAUGAAAUAGAAUACAAAUUUCAGAGUCCAGAGAGCUUGGGUUCUGAAGCAAUUUCAUCCUGAUAUCAGCACUACAUUAAAUUUCUUGGGCAUCAUGAAUGAUUUUCUUAUCGACAUCUUUGAGCACAUCACCACCAAGGCUGGCUGCCAGGUUGCUACACUGAGUGCUCCACUAUCACCUCCAGAGAGAUCCAGACCACCCGAGCCUGAUGCUGUCUGGGGAUAUCCACAAACACGCUGUAUUGAAAACCAAAGGGCUCUGAGACAGUCCUCCUUUCUUGAGGAGACAAACUCCAGCCUGUGACUGAUUGCAGAGUCUUCUGGCAAGCUUCAGAGUAAAACAAAAACUAUUUGUGGAUGACAAAGGCUUAAAAUGGGACUGUGGUUAAUUUUUUGAUGGUAAUUUUCGGAAGUGAAAGAACUGAUGUGUCUAUAACAGGAAUAAUGCAAUCGACAGAAAAUUUGGUUAUUUCUGUGACACAAAGGUAAUAAAGUUAAUCCACAAAGUUUUAAACACAAUGUAUUUAAAGAUAGUCAUUAUACAGAUUUUCAGUGAAGACAGUGAAUAUUACAUCUGAUUUACAAAAAAGAUGAACAUAAUUUUUAUAAAGGAAAAAUAUUUGGAUUUAAUAAUUCAAGAACACACAAUGUACAUAAUAUACCAUGAGUAUAUUAAGAAUUCAGUAGUAAUAUAUACCAAUAGAAUAUCAAGUUGAGAUUCAGUAAGUCCAGAGUAGAUCCUAAACAUCUAUAAUUUAGUAAAGCCUCAUAGGAAAUAUUUUACAGAUGUAUGUACACAGGUUUAACUAGGUAUCACUGUGUAACUUGCAAUUUUCACCAAAUAUUGUUUCUGAAAUUUAUCUACAUUCUAAUUGCUGUAGCUUUAGUACAUUCAUUUUUACUGGUAUAUUGUAUUCCAUUGUAUGAUUGUAGUAUGAUUUAUCCAGAAUAAUCUGUUGAUGGACAUUUCAAUUGUUUUCGGAUUUGUGCUGUUAAAAACAGUGGUGCACAAAUAUUAAUUUUACCUGUUUUUUAAACAUACCAGUGGGAUUAUACAGUAUUCCCUGUUUUUGCUUGGCUUCUUUUGUGUUUUUUUAAAUUUAAAAUUUUUAAUUUCUGCGGGUGCCUAGUAGAUGUAUAUAUUUAUGGGAUACAUGAGAUGUUUUGGUACAGUUAUACAAUGUGAAAUAAUCACAUCACAGAACAUGAAGUAUCCAUUCCCUCAAGCAUUUAUCCCCUGUGUUACAAACAAUCCAAUUAUACUCUUUUAGUUAUUUUAAAAUGUAUACUAAAAUUACUAUUGACUAUAAUCUCCCUGUUGUGCUACCAAAUACUAGGUCUUAUUCAUUCUGACUACUUUUUGUGCCCGUUAACCAUCCCUCCUUCCCCUUCAUCCUUCCACUACCUUCUCCAGCCUCUGGUAACCAUCCUUCUACUCUCUAUUUCCAUGAGUUCAACUUUCUUUUGCUCAACAUGUCUGUGACACUUAAGAAACAUAUCAACCAAGUGCAAUAUGGGGCCCUUGUUUGGACCAUAAUUGGAACAAACCAACUGUACAAAAAGCAUUUGUGCAACAAUUGAUAUUGAUAUUUGAUAUUAAUGAGUUACUAUCAAAUUUUUUCUAGGUGUGACAAUGGUAUUGUGCUUAUGUUUAAAAGAGCUCUCAUCUUUUAGAGAUUCAUACUGAAAUACUUAUGGAUGAAAAUAUAUUAUUUGCUUCAAAAUGGUGGAGGUGGGAAAAUGUGGAGUAUAUGGCUGUGAAUUGAUAAUUCUUGGAAUUAGGUGAUGAGAAAUG
Molecule: long non-coding RNA, 1833 nt
Organism: Homo sapiens (human)
Lineage: Eukaryota; Metazoa; Chordata; Mammalia; Primates; Hominidae
Source: Ensembl